CUGUGGUGAUGACUCUCUUAGGACAUCCUCGGAUUUAAUUGUGAAAAAAUAAGCGUUAUUUUUGAGUAGC
This is a small nucleolar RNA of Columba livia (rock pigeon), 70 nucleotides long. RefSeq annotates it as small nucleolar RNA SNORD58. The transcript has a single exon. NCBI's taxonomy places the organism in Eukaryota, Metazoa, Chordata, Aves, Columbiformes, Columbidae. The record is from RefSeq and is a predicted model, not a curated record.